This 24-nucleotide non-coding RNA is filed under the name Arabidopsis thaliana (thale cress). The record is from RNAcentral. Lineage: Eukaryota; Viridiplantae; Streptophyta; Magnoliopsida; Brassicales; Brassicaceae.
GACAAAGCGUAUUUGGUGGAGCGG